This 73-nucleotide transfer RNA is filed under the name Mucispirillum sp. RNAcentral describes it as "tRNA-Asn". It matches the Rfam family "tRNA". Rfam says of the family: Transfer RNA (tRNA) molecules are approximately 80 nucleotides in length. Their secondary structure includes four short double-helical elements and three loops (D, anti-codon, and T loops). The record is from RNAcentral. Lineage: Bacteria; Pseudomonadati; Deferribacterota; Deferribacteres; Deferribacterales; Mucispirillaceae.
UCCCCGGUAGCUCAGUCGGCAGAGCAAGUGACUGUUAAUCACUGGGUCGGCGGUUCGAGCCCGUCCCGGGGAG